Molecule: ribosomal RNA, 884 nt
Filed under: uncultured bacterium
Lineage: Bacteria
Description: bacterial SSU rRNA
Rfam family: Bacterial small subunit ribosomal RNA
Source: RNAcentral
CUUGCUCCUGGUGGCGAGUGGCGGACGGGUGAGUAAUAUAUCGGAACGUAUCCAAUAAUGGGGGAUAACUAUCCGAAAGGAUAGCUAAUACCGCAUACGCCCUGAGGGGGAAAGCUAGGGAUCUUCGGACCUGGCGUUAAUGGAGCGGCCGAUAGCUGAUUAGCUAGUUGGUGAGGUAAAGGCUCACCAAGGCGACGAUCAGUAGCUGGUCUGAGAGGACGACCAGCCAUACUGGAACUGAGACACGGUCCAGACUCCUACGGGAGGCAGCAGUGGGGAAUUUUGGACAAUGGGGGCAACCCUGAUCCAGCCAUUCCGCGUGAGUGAAGAAGGCCUUCGGGUUGUAAAGCUCUUUCGCAAGGGAAGAAAACUUAGUCUCUAACAUAGACUGAGGUUGACGGUACCUUGAUAAGAAGCACCGGCUAACUACGUGCCAGCAGCCGCGGUAAUACGUAGGGUGCGAGCGUUAAUCGGAAUUACUGGGCGUAAAGCGUGCGCAGGCGGUUUUGUAAGUCAGAUGUGAAAUCCCCGAGCUCAACUUGGGAACUGCGUUUGAAACUACAAGACUAGAAUAUGCCAGAGGGGGGUAGAACUCCACGUGUAGCAGUGUAAUGCGUAGAGAUGUGGAGGAAUACCAAUGGCGAAGGCAGCCCCCUGGGAUAAUAUUGACGCUCAUGCACGAAAGCGUGGGGAGCAAACAGGAUUAGAUACCCUGGUAGUCCACGCCCUAAACGAUGUCUACUAGUUGUUGGUGGAGUAAAAUCCAUGAGUAACGCAGCUAACGCGUGAAGUAGACCGCCUGGGGAGUACGGUCGCAAGAUUAAAACUCAAAUGAAUUGACGGGGGCCCGCACAAGCGGUGGAUUAUGUGGAUUAAUUCGAUGC